AAAGAGCAGACAUACCACACAAAGAAGUUCACCCUGAGCUCUGGUUGUAUGUCUGUGGUCAUCAUUGUGCUGAAAGCGCUUCCCUGUUCCUGUUGAAAAAAAGUAUUUCCACAGUAUGAUGUCACCACCACCUUGUUCCAUGCUGCCAAUAUUUGGUUCUACUUGGUAUGACGGAUCAACAACUCCUUCUACACUUUUCUGAAUG
Long non-coding RNA from Fundulus heteroclitus (mummichog), 205 nucleotides. RefSeq lists it as uncharacterized. NCBI's taxonomy places the organism in Eukaryota, Metazoa, Chordata, Actinopteri, Cyprinodontiformes, Fundulidae. The transcript is spliced from 4 exons. The record is from RefSeq and is a predicted model, not a curated record.